AAACCCGUCAAGGGACUCUGAUGGACGAGAUGCAUGCAAUGAUGCAACGUCUGAUGUUGCAAUUUCCGCCACCACAGUGAACCAGUGUGAGUCCCUCUCUAUCUUGGAUUAAACAUUGCGGACAACGUUUAGUUUAAGUGUGGUACUCUGUGUGUGUGUGUGUGUGUGGGGGGGGUAUUAUUUGUUGUUUUUUUAUUUGUUUUUUUCUUAAUAUUUUAUUUUU
This 223-nucleotide long non-coding RNA is filed under the name Lathyrus oleraceus (garden pea). RNAcentral's name for it is "Pisum sativum (pea) long non-coding RNA (PSAT_LNC018904)". The record is from RNAcentral. Lineage: Eukaryota; Viridiplantae; Streptophyta; Magnoliopsida; Fabales; Fabaceae.